GGGAGAAGCUCGGCCACGCGUGGGGAAGAGGAGGACAACAUAAGAAUCAGAAUCCAAAAAAAAGCAGCAGCCGCGCGCUCUGCUGGCUCCCAACAUUGCGCCCCUGUCUCCAUCCCCGGAAUUGCUCUCCUGCUGAUCUAAGCAACCUGGAAUGUCCUCAGUGCGAAUCCAGUAUCUCCAAUCAAGUGGCCUGCAGAUGUCCCAAGGGCGGCCACGUGUUUAGUCAAUGAUCCCUCUGCAAAAAAAACGGUCACCCCAAAACAUGACAAAAACAUCGUUGUCCUCCAGAUGAACCUGGAGUCAGUGGGGACAAUCGGGCACGCUCACCCAGGCUGAUCAUCCUUGCCAUUGGUUGACCACGUCCCCUCGCAGAGAGACUCCCACCCAUCUUGGUGGCGCUCAGCCAGUUGGAGAGCCUUCAUAACCAUCAAUGAGCAAAGUGCA
Molecule: long non-coding RNA, 444 nt
Organism: Crotalus tigris (Tiger rattlesnake)
Lineage: Eukaryota; Metazoa; Chordata; Lepidosauria; Squamata; Viperidae
Exons: 3
Source: RefSeq, a predicted model, not a curated record